This 146-nucleotide unclassified non-coding RNA is filed under the name soil metagenome. RNAcentral describes it as "partial internal transcribed spacer 1". The record is from RNAcentral.
CCGAGUUUACAACUCCCAAACCCCUGUGAACAUACCACUUGUUGCCUCGGCGGAUCAGCCCGCUCCCGGUAAAACGGGACGGCCCGCCAGAGGACCCCUAAACUCUGUUUCUAUAUGUAACUUCUGAGUAAAACCAUAAUAAAUCA